CCUACGGGAGGCAGCAGUGAGGAAUAUUGGUCAAUGGGCGUAAGCCUGACCCAGCCAAGCCGCGUGAGGGAUGAAGGCUCUAUGGAUCGUAAACCUCUUUUAUAAGGGAAUAAAGUGUGGGACGUGUCCUAUUUUGUCUGUACCUUAUGAAUAAGGAUCGGCUAACUCCGUGCCAGCAGCCGCGGUAAUACGGAGGAUCCGAGCGUUAACCGGAUUUAUUGGGUUUAAAGGGUGCGUAGGCGGCCUUUUAAGUCAGCGGUGAAAGUCGGUGGCUCAACCAUAGAAUUGCCGUUGAAACUGGGGGGCUUGAGUAUGUGUGAGGCAGGCGGAAUGCGUGGUGUAGCGGUGAAAUGCUUAGAUAUCACGCAGAACCCCGAUGGCGAAGGCAGCCUGCCAAGCCAUGACUGACGGUGAUGCACGAAAGCGUGGGGAUCAAACAGGAUUAGAUACCCGGGUAGUC
RNAcentral lists this ribosomal RNA (460 nucleotides) under uncultured bacterium. RNAcentral describes it as "partial 16S ribosomal RNA". It matches the Rfam family "Bacterial small subunit ribosomal RNA", at positions 338 to 795 of the family's 1533-position model. The record is from RNAcentral.